GAUUUGCCUUCGAACGGGCCACAAAGGGACGCGGCAGCCGCGGUGGGAGGAGCGCGAGCGAGAGAGGCGCCGCCGUUACGGAGCUGACGGGGCGCGCCGGAGACGAGUAAUGUUGAGUAUGAGUCUUGUUAUGAUUAGCGAGAAUGUAAAACUGGCCCGUGAAUAUGCGUUGCUGGGAAACUAUGAUUCUGCAAUGGUCUACUACCAAGGAGUACUUGACCAAAUGAAUAAAUACCUCUACUCUGUCAAAGAUGCAUAUCUGCAACAGAAAUGGCAACAGGUUUGGCAGGAGAUAAGUGUGGAAGCUAAGCACGUGAAGGAUAUAAUGAAAACACUGGAAAGCUUUAAAUUAGAUUGCACUCCCUUGAAAGCAGCACAGCAAGAAUUACCAGCUCGUGAUGGAGAAGUGUGGUCCUUGCCCGUUCCAGCUGAACGUAGACCUUCUCCAGGAGCCAGAAAACGUCAGUCUGUUCAGUGCAAUGAUUGCAGAGGUCACAAUAACCGUGUAAGUGCAGCUGUCAGAGGCCCUCACCGGCCCGCCUCUCGAAAUCCUAAUGAUAAAGGGAAAGCAGUCCGUGGCCGAGAAAGGAAGGAUCAGCAGAAUAAAGGAAGAGAGGAAAAGAACAAGUCGUCGUCUGAUGUUUCAGAAUCUGAGCCAAAGAGGUUUGACGGUACUGGGUAUGAUAAAGACUUAGUAGAAGCUUUGGAAAAAGAUAUUAUUUCUCAAAAUCCCAAUAUUCGAUGGGAUGAUAUAGCUGACUUAGUUGAUGCCAAAAAAUUGCUCAAAGAAGCUGUAGUCUUACCAAUGUGGAUGCCAGAAUUCUUUAAGGGAAUUAGAAGACCAUGGAAGGGUGUGCUGAUGGUUGGUCCACCUGGUACUGGAAAGACUCUUCUUGCAAAAGCUGUAGCUACUGAAUGCAAAACAACAUUUUUCAACAUCUCAUCAUCAACACUUACUUCAAAAUACAGAGGAGAAUCUGAGAAACUUGUCCGCCUGCUGUUUGAAAUGGCUCGAUUUUAUGCACCAACAACUAUAUUUAUUGAUGAGAUAGACUCUAUCUGUAGUCGCAGAGGAACCUCGGAGGAGCAUGAAGCCAGCCGACGGGUGAAGGCAGAACUACUGGUUCAGAUGGAUGGUGUUGGAGGGGCUGCUGAAAAUGAUGAUCCUUCCAAAAUGGUUAUGGUACUUGCUGCUACUAAUUUUCCUUGGGAUAUUGAUGAGGCCCUAAGACGACGACUAGAAAAGAGAAUUUACAUUCCUUUACCAUCAGCAAAAGGCAGAGAAGAACUCUUACGGAUAAACCUGCGGGAGUUGGAACUGGCUGACGAUGUUGACCUUGGAAAUAUAGCUGAAAAAAUGGAAGGUUAUUCUGGUGCAGAUAUUACCAAUGUAUGCAGGGAUGCCUCACUGAUGGCUAUGAGAAGACGAAUUGAGGGCUUGACACCAGAAGAAAUAAGAAAUCUUUCCAGGGAUGAAAUGCACAUGCCGACAACUAUGGAAGAUUUUGAAAUGGCUUUAAAAAAGGUUUCUAAAUCAGUAUCUGCUGCGGACAUUGAGAAAUAUGAAAAAUGGAUUGUUGAAUUUGGAUCAUGCUAAGUCUUCCUAACCAAACUUUCCUGGGAAACCUGUCUUAAAACAUCUUCAGAAGUAAUUAAAGCACAGAAGCCGGUCAUCUUUGUGCUUGUUAGAGUCUGAUACUGCGAAUCUCAACACAGGAAGAAUAAGAUUCACUCAACAGUGGUUCCAAUUCAUUUUCAGUAAGUUUUGCCCUUUUAAAUGUUCCUGAUUCUGUUAAAAAAUUGUGACAUGAGUAAGGUGCAAAAACCUGAAACUUGUAACAGUUAAUAAAUUAAAUGUAAGUCUGAAGUGAACUAAGACUUCACUUAAGAUACAUUGGGAAAAGCAUUUCCUUAGAUAUGCUGUACAACACUGAUUAAUAUCCAGACUAUUUUGCCAGCACUGCUGCUGAGCCAGGGUUGCAGUCAACUCACUCUACAAGUGUUGCAAUUGUCUUUAGAAAGUGGAGACCAAGGGCAUUAAACAUAUCUGGCACACUUUCUAUUUAAA
Gopherus evgoodei (Goodes thornscrub tortoise) is the source of this 2068-nucleotide RNA transcript. It is a transcript of the gene named katanin catalytic subunit A1, with no coding region annotated. The record is from RefSeq and is a predicted model, not a curated record. NCBI's taxonomy places the organism in Eukaryota, Metazoa, Chordata, Testudines, Testudinidae. The transcript has 12 exons.